This is a non-coding RNA of Bombyx mori (domestic silkworm), 79 nucleotides long. NCBI's taxonomy places the organism in Eukaryota, Metazoa, Arthropoda, Insecta, Lepidoptera, Bombycidae. The record is from Rfam.
GGCUCGUUAGCUCAGUGGUUAGAGCGCCCAGCUGGCGCACAGUAAUGGGAAGACGAGGGUUCAAAUCCCUCACGAGCUA